Molecule: ribosomal RNA, 528 nt
Filed under: uncultured bacterium
Lineage: Bacteria
Description: bacterial SSU rRNA
Rfam family: Bacterial small subunit ribosomal RNA
Source: RNAcentral
CUUGACAUCCAGCGAACUUGGCAGAGAUGCCUUGGUGCCUUCGGGAACGCUGAGACAGGUGCUGCAUGGCUGUCGUCAGCUCGUGUUGUGAAAUGUUGGGUUAAGUCCGCAACGAGCGCAACCCUUAUCCUUUGUUGCCAGCGAUUCGGUCGGGAACUCAAAGGAGACUGCCGGUGAUAAACCGGAGGAAGGUGGGGAUGACGUCAAGUCAUCAUGGCCCUUACGAGUAGGGCUACACACGUGCUACAAUGGCGUAUACAAAGAGAAGCGACCUCGCGAGAGCAAGCGGACCUCAUAAAGUGCGUCGUAGUCCGGAUCGGAGUCUGCAACUCGACUCCGUGAAGUCGGAAUCGCUAGUAAUCGUGGAUCAGAAUGCCACGGUGAAUACGUUCCCGGGCCUUGUACACACCGCCCGUCACACCAUGGGAGUGGGUUGCAAAAGAAGUAGGUAGCUUAACCUCCGGGAGGGCGCUUACCACUUUGUGAUUCAUGACUGGGGUGAAGUCGUAACAAGGUAAGCGUAGCGAG